This 351-nucleotide transfer-messenger RNA is filed under the name Eubacteriales. Its description in RNAcentral is "UBA1752 sp018065365 Standard tmRNA". It matches the Rfam family "transfer-messenger RNA". From Rfam's summary of the family: Bacterial tmRNA, also known as 10Sa RNA or SsrA, is named for its dual tRNA and mRNA-like properties. Its role is to liberate the mRNA from a stalled ribosome. The record is from RNAcentral. RNAcentral also lists the same sequence under 1 other name. Lineage: Bacteria; Bacillati; Bacillota; Clostridia.
GGGGACGUAAAGGUUUCGACUGGAGUUUUGAACGAGGGUAAGCGAGCGGAAGCGCAUAACUUCCUUAAAAUGUGCAAUUUUAAAAUUAAACGCAAGAUCUAACAACGAUCUCGUAGCUGCCUAACCGCGGCUACCGUCAUACCCGGGAGUACCGCGGCCCGGGAUAUGGCGUCACUGAGCGGUGAACGUGCACGGGAGAGCGCCUCGUAUUCCGUCAUGCAUUUUGGGGCUACCUUUCUUAUCUGCGUGAGGGUCCGCGGAUAGGAUCGGGAAUGUAAUGAUCCUCUGCGCUCGGAGAAAACCUUCGGAAUGGGCUUUAGGACAGGGGUCCGAUUCCCCUCGUCUCCACCA